CAUACCAAUUGCAAAAGUAGACAACCCAAGGUAUUGCAAAUGGGGUAUGUCCAAUCAUUUUUAGUAGCCACUUAGUCACAAACACUGGCCAAAUAUUAGUUUUUUUGCUUUUUUCACACAAAAACAAAUAUGAAUGCUAACUUUGGCCAGUGUUUGUGACCAAAUGGCUACUAAAAAAGACUAAACAUACAACACGUUCAAUACCUUGGGUUGUCUACUUUUUCAAAUGGUAUG
This is a non-coding RNA of Pelobates cultripes (western spadefoot toad), 234 nucleotides long. NCBI's taxonomy places the organism in Eukaryota, Metazoa, Chordata, Amphibia, Anura, Pelobatidae. The record is from the annotation of a GenBank genome assembly.